AGAUUGAAAUAUGCAGCCGAUGUUGAUAAUAUGGGGAGUGGAAGAUCAAGUUUUUCCGGUGGAAUUAGCUCAUAGAUUGCAAAGAUAUUUAGGGGAAGACAGAGCACAACUGGUGUUACUAAAAAA
Molecule: non-coding RNA, 126 nt
Organism: Camelina sativa (false flax)
Lineage: Eukaryota; Viridiplantae; Streptophyta; Magnoliopsida; Brassicales; Brassicaceae
Source: RefSeq, a predicted model, not a curated record